RNAcentral lists this ribosomal RNA (377 nucleotides) under uncultured bacterium. RNAcentral describes it as "bacterial SSU rRNA". It matches the Rfam family "Bacterial small subunit ribosomal RNA", at positions 521 to 896 of the family's 1533-position model. The record is from RNAcentral.
UAAGACGAACCUGACGAACGUUAUUCGGAAUCACUGGGCUUAAAGGGUGCGUAGGCUGUGCAGAAAGUUGGGUGUGAAAUCCCUCGGCUUAACCGAGGAACUGCGCCCAAAACUACUGUGCUUGAGUGAGAUAGAGGUGAGCGGAACUUAGGGUGGAGCGGUGAAAUGCGUUGAUAUCCUAAGGAACACCGGUGGCGAAAGCGGCUCACUGGGUCUCAACUGACGCUGAUGCACGAAAGCUAGGGUAGCGAACGGGAUUAGAUACCCCGGUAGUCCUAGCCGUAAACGAUGAGCACUGGGUUGGAGGGUCCUCCAUAGCCCUCCAGCCGAAGCGAAAGUGUUAAGUGCUCCGCCUGGGGAGUAUGGUCGCAAGGCUG